UCACUCACUGCUUAGUUUGUACCGUGUCAUAUCAUACCGUAUUAUCGUCCGGCAAGCGCGACUUUACAACAUAACAACGAUUAUUAUAUUAUUAAAAGAGAAAUAAACAAAGUUGAAUAGUAAAAUGGAUUCUGGAAACAAAGAUUCGUCGAAAAAUCGAAAUACAACACAAGUAUCGACUAAUAGUCCGUGGAGUUUGUUAUUUAGUCAAAGAAAUCGUACAAAUAGUGAAACCAGUGUUGGUUCAACAAGUUCUCAAAGCAGUCAAUCAGGUGCUCAAUGCGGAGCUCUGCAGAGGCAAACCAGCAAGAAUGAGGAAUACUUGUGGAUGAUGUGGCGUUCUUAAGUGCACGCACACUGACAGCAGAGUCUGCAACAGACCUCAUUAAAACUGGAACUUUUUAUUUAGGAGUAACGUUUACUUAAUAUUGCAUUAUAAUUAUGUGUUGGGAAAC
This is a long non-coding RNA of Trichoplusia ni (cabbage looper), 455 nucleotides long. RefSeq lists it as uncharacterized. Lineage: Eukaryota; Metazoa; Arthropoda; Insecta; Lepidoptera; Noctuidae. The record is from RefSeq and is a predicted model, not a curated record. The transcript has 3 exons.